CACCUCUGUUCACAAGUCCCCAAAGAACUGGCCAUGUGCUCCUGUAAUUAUUGAUCCCAGCUGGAAGAGCUUAGUGCCUGUGGUGGGGGUAUUUACACAGCUGGACGAGGACAGCCUCAGAUAUUUGGUGCUCAUCAGGGAAAGGAAGAGCCCUACAAUGCUAGAGAGCAUGGGUCUGGGUUCUGGUUCUGAAUGGUUGUGCUGAGAUGUUCUCCUGCUGUUCACCAUUCAAAGCCUAGUGUGGCUGACUGGGAAGACUCGUUGAGCUGUCCUGCUUGCUUCAAAGUUCUACGUGUCUGAAGGGAAAUGAGCGAAGAGCCGCCGUGGGCUGCAGCAGCGGUUUCUUCACAUAAUCCUGGCGAUGUGUUUUGCUGAUACUUUGCACAAGGGCAUACGAGGUUGCAAAGCCACCUGGGAGAGUGCUGGAGUGGAGCAGAGGGAAGCAACCACAGCGCAGUCUGGUCUAGUGAGACUAAUGGUCAUGUCAGGGGAAAAGUCCUGCUGUGACCCAGCCUCGGUGUGCGUGGCCAAGCCCUGUGCAGACAGCUGCUGGGGAAGGUCCAGGGAAGAACCAGAAGUGAGCUGGCCUUUGGUAGCAAAGCUGUGCUAAGUAGUCGAGAUUUAGAGCUGGACGUUCUCCCCAUCUUCUUUAGUAAAGAUGCCAACGUAUCCUGUAUUCAAAGCUCUUUGCCAGGGGGUUCACCUUGCUGCAGUCUGCACCUUGUGUCUAUGCUCUGUGGUUUGUGGUGGAGAUGAUUGCUUUGGCAACUGGCCUUCAGGGCUGCUAGCACCCUGGCAGCCAUCCUACAGCCACAUGAGAGCCACCUCAACAGGAUGUUCUCUCCAGCUUCCAGGACCCCCAGGAUGCAUUCCUGUCGCCAAUGAGAUCUUUACUUCUGUGGCUGAUGGGCUCUGAGUGAGCCCAGUCUGGAGAAGGGCUGCUGUCUCACCUUUCCCCAGCACCUGUGGUGGGAUGAGCUCCCCUCCCAGCAAUGGGCUGCAGAGAGGAGGAGGAAGGACGUGGCUGGGGCAGCCCAGAGCUAUUUGCAGAGCUCUGCUCUUGACCCAGGAGUAGGAUUACAGCCUUCUAGUUACGCUUUCCCCGGUGCAAACCAAUGCUGAAACAGUGCUGCGAGGGCUUGGAUGCAGUGCAGCUGUAAGGAAUAACUGAGCCGUGUAUGUAAAUCUAUUAUUUCUACAGUUAUUGUGGCUUCUGCUUUGUCUCCGUUAUCUGAGAAGGCGACUCCUGGCAUUCUAAUAAAACUAUGGAGUUAAUUUUAAUUACUGACAUCUGCAGCUUGGGUUGCUAUAGAAACACAAAGAACUGCCACUUCUACAAGUUUCAUCUGUAACUUGCUGCCUGGAAAUGUGUGGGGUCUGAUUCCUCCCUCCCAUCUCACAGUAGCAAAGCAGGGAUGGCUGCUGCAUCGGUCAACUGUAAAGGCUGUACAGUGAGUAUAGGACAGGAAGAUUAAUCUAACUUCUGGGACACAGAGACAAGAGCUAGAUGUUAUUCCUAGCAGCCAAGGAUGAAAUAUCAGGAGCUGUCAACAGAUGAACAGAGCUUGAAGAGAUGAUGGAAGGCCUGUGGUCAGAUAUGGGCUUUUAAUGAUGGGCAGCCUAGGCAGAACGAUAUGAACUGGUUCUGCACUUCUGAGAUGGCUGGAAAGCUGCCAGAGACCUUGGAGACGUUAGGACACCGCUGGAAUGAAUUUGCGUGCAUACUUUGCUUUGUCAAACACAAGGAUGUAAAAAUACUGUAUUCCACCUGAAAGCUGCCUUGUUGCAGAGUCACAUCCAGCAUCAUUGCAAGCAUCUUUAGAUUGUGAAGAAGUGAAGCCUGUAGCAAGGAAGCAAUUGUUAAGGGAGUUAACUGAUGUUAUUGAAUAGGAUCUGCAUUUGUGGAACAGAAUUAGGAGGCGCUUUCUUUACAUAAAAUAAGAGGAGCCAUUCACAGGAGACUGCAUACAGAGCACAAGCAAGCUAGGUUGGGAGUUCAUGGUAAUACUAAAUACCUUGCAGUGCAUGAGCUAUUUUUCACCAGGGAGACCAGAAGCCCUGAUCAGUAUUAAGAGCCUGUUGUCCUAUCGCAAAUACAGAGCAAACACAGAUAACAGGUAGCCAGCCCUGGAAAAUGUUUGUUUAUUCUGAUACAAUGGCAGAUUUACGCAUAAUUUGUGGACCUGCACUUAAUCAAAUCACAUGAACAUGUAGGCAAACACGUGCGGCCAUGCUUGUGUCUUUCAUCAAAUGUGAUUGAUAAAGAAAAGAAUUAGUGUAAGGAGUUGCAUUGUUGGAGGGCAUCGUUGUAAGCCAAACCUCUAUCGUCCCAGCGAGCGGAGUUCCAGUAAUUGCAUUUUAAGGAGUAAUAAUUGACAUUUCAGGUACAAGAAGAGAAGAGCCUGGCUCAAUUGUAGAGUAUAUACCUCUCGAGAAUGACACAGGAAUGUCAUGAAUACGAAGACAGCAAAUUUUUGGCAUCUUUUACCUUUCAGGGGACAGCAGAUCAGCACACAGCCUUCACAAUGUUCUCCGUCUGUGAUGAUUUCGUUCUUUUAUUUACAGUCUUCCAUGGUGAUGGAGCCCACAAACUAUGUUCCACAAACUCCGUUCCACAUUCUUUGACUCCACCUAUGGGCAGCGUGGAUGGUGAAUGCUGGCUGAUGGCACCCUCACCCAAUUGCAGGAAGCCUGCUGCUCAGCAGCUUGAGUGGUCCCAGAAGAGCUGGAGGAACACUCAGUGCAGCAGUCCUGACAUGAAUUGUCCAAAACGGCUAACUUGCCUGAGUAUAAUGACUUCAGCUAGAGUUGUAUUUAUCAGCCAGCUCCAGCCUUCAAGGACUUGGUUCUAAAAGAACCCUGAAUUGAUUAGUUACCCACCUAAACAGGUUUUACAUUCCAGAUGAGCUCCUUUAUUCAAAUGACAGAGGGCCAUUAUGUUGCUAGAAUGAUUACCAUGUCCUCCAUAUAUGGCUCCAAGUGAAUCAGUGAUCACUUUUAUAAGAAAAUUUGCUCCUACAAACUCCUCUGAUUUAAUGCUGCGGUCAUGGAUCCAGAUUGAGUUACAUUCCUACGCCUACCUGAAGAUAAGUGGACUUCCAGCCUCACCACCAGACACGUUCAUAUUUCAGGUAUAAUAGUCUUCCUUGAUUCCUGUUUGUUUUGGCCUCCAUCACUGCAGGUUCAUUGCUGUAAGAUACGUACUGAUGAGGGGCCUGAGUUCAGAGACAGAACUCCAAGCAAACCCAGAGUGUUGUAGGAUGUAGCAAUGUUUUUUUUGUUGUCUUUUUGCUUUUCUAGCAGGCAGUUCUUCCAUCACAGUUGCUGUGUUUAUGCUCUGCUGUAGUCUGUGCGUUUCUGAUAAGCUGGAGAACUGAAUUCUGACUAAAUGUGGUCAUAAAUGAUCCCGUGACACUUCUACAAUUAUCUCUGCUAAUGCAGCUUUCUGCUCGAGCUCCAGCCUGUCAAUGCUAUUCUCCAUCUGCAGCACUUUUAAUUGCAGGUGUAAAGAAGAUUGUUCAGUUACUGCUCUCACUUGCUGUGCAGGGCUAUCAGUCCUGUUAAAUCACUGCUUAAUAUUUCUAAGUGCAGAUUCAAGCCAGCUGCAUCCGCAUAACCCAUACACAGGUUUCACCACCCAUCCUUACUAACGCC
Molecule: long non-coding RNA, 3654 nt
Filed under: Gallus gallus (chicken)
Lineage: Eukaryota; Metazoa; Chordata; Aves; Galliformes; Phasianidae
Description: lncRNA (ENSGALG00010004121.1)
Source: RNAcentral